Molecule: long non-coding RNA, 277 nt
Organism: Suricata suricatta (meerkat)
Lineage: Eukaryota; Metazoa; Chordata; Mammalia; Carnivora; Herpestidae
Exons: 3
Source: RefSeq, a predicted model, not a curated record
UCUUGCGCUAUUACAACUAUUUUUCUUGGAUGUGCAUCCUGCCAGAUUAUGGCAUGGCACUCAGCCCCUCAAUAAGAAGCCAUUGGGUUCCAAUACAGAAGAAAUCUCAAACCUGGCCCCUGCCUCUAAGGAGCAGACAGUGGGCUAAUUACAAAAGAAGAAAAUGGAACAUGAGCUCCAGCCAGAAAAGAUUCACAGCUGCCACUCUGUAGUUGCUACUUUAAUGGAAAACACAUGUGCAAGAUACCACCCAGGAGACACCAGAAAAAGGAACGUC